RNAcentral lists this ribosomal RNA (253 nucleotides) under uncultured bacterium. RNAcentral describes it as "partial 16S ribosomal RNA". It matches the Rfam family "Bacterial small subunit ribosomal RNA", at positions 524 to 776 of the family's 1533-position model. The record is from RNAcentral.
UACGUAGGGUGCAAGCGUUAAUCGGAAUUACUGGGCGUAAAGCGUGCGUAGACGGCUAUCUAAGUCGGGUGUGAAAGCCCCGGGCUCAACCUGGGAAUUGCAUUCGAGACUGAAUAGCUAGGGUACGGUAGAGGGAAGCGGAAUUUCCGGUGUAGCGGUGAAAUGCGUAGAUAUCGGAAGGAACAUCAGUGGCGAAAGCGGCUUCCUGGACCAGUACCGACGUUCAGGCACGAAAGCGUGGGGAGCAAACAGG